RNAcentral lists this ribosomal RNA (253 nucleotides) under uncultured bacterium. Its description in RNAcentral is "partial 16S ribosomal RNA". It matches the Rfam family "Bacterial small subunit ribosomal RNA", at positions 524 to 776 of the family's 1533-position model. The record is from RNAcentral.
UACGGGGGGGGCAAGCGUUGUUCGGAAUUACUGGGCGUAAAGGGCUCGUAGGCGGCCAACUAAGUCAGACGUGAAAUCCCUCGGCUUAACCGGGGAACUGCGUCUGAUACUGGAUGGCUUGAGGUUGGGAGAGGGAUGCGGAAUUCCAGGUGUAGCGGUGAAAUGCGUAGAUAUCUGGAGGAACACCGGUGGCGAAGGCGGCAUCCUGGACCAAUUCUGACGCUGAGGUGCGAAAGCGUGGGGAGCAAACAGG